GAAGGCUGAAUUUUGUCUACCCGAACAGAAUAUAGAAGAAAUUGGCCAACCAGUGUGCGCGGGGUGGAAUCAGAAAUGCUCAUAGGAGCUGUCUSAGUCCACGGGGCGCAAACACGUGCCGAAAUGCAGCGCCGGAUCGGUUGCACAGGAUCGUCUUCCUGCCGUGACAUGUCAUUCCGAGAAGCCACAACACRCAGCAUGGAAACAACCAUGCAGAUCAAAGAAAAACAUGUCCGUCUUUUGCUGUUGCUGUCGCUCAGCUACUUCWGAAGAGGGGUCUUCAGUAAGGAGGGGACCCUCACAAUGAAGCUGGUAAACGUACUUGCCAUGGACACCCUGUUCUCAGAUAUCGCUCAAGCCUUCAACAAGCAGCACGAGGACCACUCUGCCAUGAAGAAGGCUGCCCAAAAGCUGAAGGAGCUUUCUGGCUGCGCUCCCACUGCUGGUCUUGCAGCCUGCGUAGAGCAGGCACAGCAGGAGCACGGUGCCCGCGAGGUGCAGGUGCACAUGGAGGGCUAUAGUUUUUCACUCAUUGUAAAGGAGAGGAAAGUGCCAGACAAACUGCAGCGGGUCCAGCAGCAGAUGGAGGAGCUGAGUAAUUCCACAAAACGUGUCCUUGCAACAGAAACUGCCCUGCAGGAAAUGAUCUGCUCAGUGCUUGAGAACCAGACUCAGCUGGCAGAGAGAAUCAAAUCUGCAAACCCAGAGUAUCUGGACCAGGUACGGCUAGAAGCUAAUCUAAGAGAGAACAUCCAAAAAAUCAGCCUGGCCAAGGAGCUCUCAGAGGAGUACAGCGAAGGGGCCAAGAGCAUUCUCCGGGAAAUGGCUCAGCUAGCUGGCUUGACGCUGUAAGGGGCUCCUGAAAUAGGGACAGGAUUGAUGUUAAUACCCUGUUGCACAUACAGAGCAAUAGCUUAGAGGAUGCCUGGGUGGUGUACUGACUUGGUGRUGUAGGUAAAGAGCCCUCAGCAAAUGGCUUAUGGGCAGCUCUGGGUCCCAAAUGUGUUUUAUCCAACGACAGGCAGAGGGAUGCAUCUGAGAAAAGGCUUUGAUUUUCACCUGAGCCAUUAUUACAGGUGGACAGAAAMUCACUGUUUCCAUGUAGUGCGUCAGAUCAGCCUAUCUGCAUUAAAGUAUGGCAAAACAAGGAGUACCUGACCAAAAUAAAGGCAACUUGGACUGGAAUUUGGUAAAAUUU
This 1198-nucleotide long non-coding RNA is filed under the name Dromaius novaehollandiae (emu). RNAcentral describes it as "lncRNA (ENSDNVG00000012931.1)". Lineage: Eukaryota; Metazoa; Chordata; Aves; Casuariiformes; Dromaiidae. The record is from RNAcentral.